CAGGUCACUCCUACGGGAGGCAGCAGUGGGGAAUCUUGCACAAUGGGGGAAACCCUGAUGCAGCGACGCCGCGUGAGCGAUGAAGCCCUUCGGGGUGUAAAGCUCUUUCGGCAGGGAAGAUGAUGACGGUACCUGCAGAAGCAGCUGCGGCUAACUACGUGCCAGCAGCCGCGGUAAUACGUAGGCAGCAAGCGUUGUUCGGAGUUACUGGGCGUAAAGGGUGUGUAGGCGGUUGUUUAAGUUUGGUGUGAAAUCUCCCGGCUCAACUGGGAGGGUGCGCCGAAUACUGAAUGACUUGGAGUGCGGGAGAGGAAAGUGGAAUUCCUGGUGUAGCGGUGAAAUGCGUAGAUAUCAGGAGGAACACCGGUGGUGUAGACGGCUUUCUGGACCGUAACUGACGCUGAGACACGAAAGCGUGGGUAGCAAACAGGAUUAGAUACCCUGGUAGUCCACGCCGUAAACGAUGAAUGCCAGCCGUUAGUGGGUUUACUCACUAGUGGCGCAGCUAACGCUUUAAGCAUUCCGCCUGGGGAGUACGGUCGCAAGAUUAAAACUCAAAGGAAUUGACG
This 569-nucleotide ribosomal RNA is filed under the name uncultured Acidobacteriota bacterium. RNAcentral's name for it is "bacterial SSU rRNA". It matches the Rfam family "Bacterial small subunit ribosomal RNA", at positions 329 to 915 of the family's 1533-position model. The record is from RNAcentral. Lineage: Bacteria; Pseudomonadati; Acidobacteriota.